AUGCGAUAAGUAAUGUGAAUUGCAGAAUUCAGUGAAUCAUCGAAUCUUUGAACGCACAUUGCGCCCGCUAGUACUCUAGCGGGCAUGCCUGUUCGAGCGUCAUUUCAACCCUCAAGCCCUGCUUGGUGUUGGGGCCCUACGGCUGCCGUAGGCCCUGAAAGGAAGUGGCGGGCUCGCUACAACUCCGAGCGUAGUAAUUCAUUAUCUCGCUAGGGACGUUGCGGCGCGCUCCUGCCGUUAAAGACCAUCUUUAACUCAAGGUUGACCUCGGAUCAGGUAGGAAUACCCGCUGAACUUAAGCAUAUCAAUAAGCGGAGGAAAAGAAACCAACAGGGAUUGCCCCAGUAACGGCGAGUGAAGCGGCAACAGCUCAAAUUUGAAAUCUGGCUUCGGCCCGAGUUGUAAUUUGUAGAGGAUGCUUUUGGUGAGGUGCCUUCUGAGUUCCCUGGAACGGGACGCCAGAGAGGGUGAGAGCCCCGUAUAGUCGGCCACCGAUCCUCUGUAAAGCUCCUUCGACGAGUCGAGUAGUUUGGGAAUGCUGCUCAAAAUGGGAGGUAUAUCUCUUCUAAAGCUAAAUAUUGGCCAGAGACCGAUAGCGCACAAGUAGAGUGAUCGAAAGAUGAAAAGCACUUUGAAAAGAGGGUUAAAUAGCACGUGAAAUUGUUGAAAGGGAAGCGCUUGUGACCAGACUUGUGCCGGGCUGAUCAUCCAGUGUUCUCACUGGUGCACUCGACCCGGCUCAGGCCAGCGUCGGUUCUCGCGGGGGGAUAAAAGCUUCGGGAACGUGGCACCUCCGGGUGUGUUAUAGCCCGCUGCUUAAUACCUUCGCGGGGACCGAGGU
RNAcentral lists this ribosomal RNA (841 nucleotides) under Sordariomycetes sp. genotype 424. RNAcentral describes it as "eukaryotic LSU rRNA". The stretch from base 263 to 841 matches the Rfam family "Eukaryotic large subunit ribosomal RNA", at positions 1 to 592 of the family's 3401-position model. Lineage: Eukaryota; Fungi; Ascomycota; Sordariomycetes. The record is from RNAcentral.